AUUGAACGCUGGCGGCAUGCUUUACACAUGCAAGUCGAACGGCAGCGGGGUAGUGCUUGCACUACUGCCGGCGAGUGGCGAACGGGUGAGUAAUAUAUCGGAACGUACCGAGUAAUGGGGGAUAACCAAUCGAAAGAUUGGCUAAUACCGCAUACGUCCUACGGGAGAAAGCGGGGGAUCGCAAGACCUCGCGUUAUUCGAGCGGCCGAUAACUGAUUAGCUAGUUGGUGGGGUAAAGGCCUACCAAGGCGACGAUCAGUAGCGGGUCUGAGAGGACGAUCCGCCACACUGGGACUGAGACACGGCCCAGACUCCUACGGGAGGCAGCAGUGGGGAAUUUUGGACAAUGGGGGCAACCCUGAUCCAGCCAUGCCGCGUGUAUGAAGAAGGCCUUCGGGUUGUAAAGUACUUUUGUUAGGGAAGAAAAGGGAAGUGCUAAUACCACUUUUUGCUGACGGUACCUAAAGAAUAAGCACCGGCUAACUACGUGCCAGCAGCCGCGGUAAUACGUAGGGUGCGAGCGUUAAUCGGAAUUACUGGGCGUAAAGCGAGCGCAGACGGUUAUUUAAGCAGGAUGUGAAAUCCCCGGGCUUAACCUGGGAACUGCGUUCUGAACUGGAUAGCUAGAGUGUGUCAGAGGGGGGUAGAAUUCCACGUGUAGCAGUGAAAUGCGUAGAGAUGUGGAGGAAUACCGAUGGCGAAGGCAGCCCCCUGGGAUAACACUGACGUUCAUGCUCGAAAGCGUGGGUAGCAAACAGG
RNAcentral lists this ribosomal RNA (759 nucleotides) under uncultured Eikenella sp. RNAcentral describes it as "bacterial SSU rRNA". It matches the Rfam family "Bacterial small subunit ribosomal RNA", at positions 28 to 776 of the family's 1533-position model. The record is from RNAcentral. Lineage: Bacteria; Pseudomonadati; Pseudomonadota; Betaproteobacteria; Neisseriales; Neisseriaceae.